Molecule: unclassified non-coding RNA, 315 nt
Filed under: Pluteus sp.
Lineage: Eukaryota; Fungi; Basidiomycota; Agaricomycetes; Agaricales; Pluteaceae
Description: partial internal transcribed spacer region
Rfam family: Eukaryotic small subunit ribosomal RNA (bases 1-46)
Source: RNAcentral
AAGUCGUAACAAGGUUUCCGUAGGUGAACCUGCGGAAGGAUCAUUAGUGAAUAAACUUGUGUGGGUUGUUGCUGGCUUCCUCGGAAGCAUGUGCACGCCUGCCGUUGUUUCAUUCCCCUUCCACCUGUGCACAUUUUGUAGACCAGGCUGUCGCUCUCGGGUUGCUUGCAAACACCGGUAUGAGGACUUGCUCCGGCUGUCCUUGGAUGGUGUGGUCUAUGUCUUUAUCAACUCCUGUAUGUAACCGAAUGUUUGUUCUGGGUUUUGAACCCAUAAAAUCCUAUACAACUUUCAACAACGGAUCUCUUGGCUCUC